Small nucleolar RNA from Spea bombifrons (plains spadefoot toad), 75 nucleotides. The record is from RefSeq and is a predicted model, not a curated record. Lineage: Eukaryota; Metazoa; Chordata; Amphibia; Anura; Pelobatidae.
UUGCAAUGAUGUCUGAAUUUCUUCACCUGAAACCUAAUAUGUAGUUCACAAAUGAGCUUUUUAACCCUGAGCAAU